Molecule: ribosomal RNA, 800 nt
Filed under: uncultured bacterium
Lineage: Bacteria
Description: bacterial SSU rRNA
Rfam family: Bacterial small subunit ribosomal RNA
Source: RNAcentral
AGAGUUUGAUCCUGGCUCAGAUUGAACGCUGGCGGCAUGCUUUACACAUGCAAGUCGAACGGCAGCGGGGGCUUCGGCCUGCCGGCGAGUGGCGAACGGGUGAGUAAUGCAUCGGAACGUGCCCAUGUUGUGGGGGAUAACUACGCGAAAGCGUAGCUAAUACCGCAUAAGCCCUGAGGGGGAAAGCGGGGGAUUCUUCGGAACCUCGUGCGAUUGGAGCGGCCGAUGUCGGAUUAGCUAGUAGGUGAGGUAAAGGCUCACCUAGGCGACGAUCCGUAGCGGGUCUGAGAGGAUGAUCCGCCACACUGGGACUGAGACACGGCCCAGACUCCUACGGGAGGCAGCAGUGGGGAAUUUUGGACAAUGGGCGCAAGCCUGAUCCAGCCAUGCCGCGUGAGUGAAGAAGGCCUUCGGGUUGUAAAGCUCUUUCGGCCGGGAAGAAAUCGUGUUCUCUAACAUAGGACAUGGAUGACGGUACCGGACUAAGAAGCACCGGCUAACUACGUGCCAGCAGCCGCGGUAAUACGUAGGGUGCGAGCGUUAAUCGGAAUUACUGGGCGUAAAGCGUGCGCAGGCGGUUUUGUAAGACAGAUGUGAAAUCCCCGGGCUUAACCUGGGAACUGCGUUUGUGACUGCAAGGCUAGAGUACGGCAGAGGGGGGUGGAAUUCCUGGUGUAGCAGUGAAAUGCGUAGAUAUCAGGAGGAACACCGAUGGCGAAGGCAGCCCCCUGGGCCUGUACUGACGCUCAUGCACGAAAGCGUGGGGGAGCAAACAGGAUUAGAUACCCUGGUAGUCCACG